UCUUAUCUAAAUAAGUAGUAACACAAUAUGAAACUGAUAAAACUUGGCGGUUAUAAUUUUUUAAAGAAACUUGUUUUGUAAUUGACAAUACUCAAUAAUUUACUCUUAGUAUAAAAACUUAUAUACCGCCGUUACUGAAAUAAAACAAAAUAAAUUUCUUAACUAAAAUCUUACAAAAAUCAGGUCAAGGUGUAAUUUAUUACUAAGAAAAAAUUAGUUACACAUAAAAAAAAUUUAAGGAAUUUUAACUAAAGAUACAAAAGAAAAAGAAUUUAUAAAUAAAUGCAAAUUAAAAAUCUCUAUCGAAAAUUAAAAUUAUAAUGC
Molecule: ribosomal RNA, 324 nt
Filed under: Mesabolivar cambridgei
Lineage: Eukaryota; Metazoa; Arthropoda; Arachnida; Araneae; Pholcidae
Description: partial 12S ribosomal RNA
Source: RNAcentral